UUUUGGCACCUGUUCCCACUAACUUACUUUCGUGACUUGGAUUAUGACCUCCCCAUGUAAGGGAAGGCAGUAUAGUUACUGCCCCAUCCCCAUUCCUACCACUGAAAUAAAAUUCAUGUCUCCUACACUUCUAAACACUACUAGAUUCAAAUAGGCUGACAAUCUGCAACUCCACCUAAAGAUCUCUCAAAUCUUGCAGGAGGAUCCUAUCCAAAACUGCUUGUUCAUUUGCCAUGUUUCCAGUAUCUCACCACUUCUCUUCUGUACAUUCCAUUGGUUGAUUUCCCCAUAAGCAAAUGGGGCAUGCAUGUUUCUCUUCAAAUCUUCUCAACCCUCCUUGGACUUCAGCCAUUGCUGCCCAACCCAUUCUAUACUGCUUUGACCACCUUUGCACAAGCAUAACCUGACAGACUUCUCUUAGAACCACACAGUUUACCUACAUCUCACUCUCUACUCCAGAGCUUCUCCAGUACAAUGAUGUGGGAUACUGUGGCAAUUCACCUGGCACACAGGCAUGUACAAUGGGAUGUUAAUUCCCAAAGGUCACCCUUGAUCAGUGGAAGAUGGGACUCACAGGAAUCCAGUGUGUAAAUAUGUUUCCAUUUCUUCUGUCAAAAAAUAAUUCAGAGACUCAUCUAAUAAUGCUCCCCAAGGUGGUCGCUUGCAGUGGUGUCCAAUACAAUUGGCCUACUGUCCUUUCACUUUACUAUCCAUAACUCUUCCUCUUCCCUCUAAGAUCUCGUUCCACCCUAAGGACUUAACAUACACAACUCUGGCUCAGCCUCUGUAUUUGAAGAAACCCAGGUUAAAACAGAGAUACCAAAAGUAGCCACAGAAAGCUGUCAGGAUGGGAUUUUGGAACUAGCAAUAAGCACUAAUUGCUGGUUGUAAGUAAGGUAGGCAUAACUUCAAUAGUUUCAUAUAUCCAAAAAUAGUCCUACAAAUAACAUAUUCUAAUAAAUCAUAUAACAAUCAUAUAAUGUUUUUAAUCUCUCAAUAAUAAAAAUGUAUCAACUAUGCUAGAGGAAACUUUGAAUUAUCUUUCUAGUUUCUCUGUAGAAAAUGUUACAAAGUUGUCAUAUGGAGAAGAAAUCAAAGUGUAUACAGCUAUAAAAAGUAAGAUUAAUAGUAUUAUGCAUUUGAGAUUGGGCAUAAAUUUUAUGUUUUUUUUUUUUUAUUUUCUAGUGUUUUGUGGUAUUAUUUCAGGGGUUGGUAAGUGACCUGAGCUAGUCUAAUUUGAAUUUCAGAUCUUAUGAUGAUGAACGGUCAUUUUCGCUGGAUUCAAACCUGAAAGAUUAUUGUCCGAGGGGCUAUAAGCUACUUUCUUGAAAGCAUGUAGACUUAGAUAAUGGAGCCAAUAGCAAAUAGGAAAUGCCUAAAAAUUAAGAAAGAAGAAAAUAAUUUGACUCCUAGAAUAAGUGGAAUCUGAAACCACUGUUCCAUUAUAUGAGGCAAUAAAUUCCUCUUUCUUAGACAUUUGAGUUGGAUUUUCCAUUACUCACUACAGAAAGCAAAGGUACACAGGGAUUACUAUCCUCUUGAACACAAUGAAUGACAAAACAUUUGGCUUUUUUCUGGUAUAAAAACCAUAUCUAAUUAUUUCCAAUGUUAUUUCAAACAUGGCCCAUGACAUCCUGAGUAAACUGUACUUAUUCCUCAUUCUUAAUUUUCUUAUGAUUUCUUCAGGGAAAACUAUUUUGGUUUUCAUUAGUUUAUUUUCUCUGAUUUGCAUUCUUAUAGCACCUUAUAUUUCAUUUUUAUAUUAUAUAUAAAUAGAUGAUAGAUUGAUAAAUAGGUAGACAGAUGAUAGAUAGACGAUAAAUUUGUCUUCUGUAUCUCCCAUAAGACUUUAAGCUCCAAGAGGGAGGCUUACCAUCUUCAUUUAUUUUCAAAGGUAUAUGCCUGGCAUCAAGCCCAAUGUCUGUAUGAAAAGAAUACUAGUUAAGUGAGAAAAUAGUGCCUGAUGGAAUGAUAGAAUGAAUGAAUUAUUUAACUCAUAUAAACAUGAAAAGCCAGAAUCUUCAAAUUGCUAAUAAAUACAUGAGUAUGUAUAUACCCAUAUACAAUUAUGUAUGUAUACUUAUUUUAUACAUAUUUGUGUAUGUAUGUGUGUACAUAUAUAGAUACAUAUAUGUGUGAACUUAUAUAUGUAGACACACACAGAAACAUACAUGUUAAAGAAUGUGAAGGGAAGAUCUAUACAGGCCUGAAUGCCAUGUAAUAGUCACAGUGCUCAGGAUCCCUUGAAAACCCAUUUGAUCUUAGAGUGGAGUAGGUAGUAGAGCAGAUGACAGAAAAAGAGGAAGGUAUGCUCUAAAUGCAAUCAGCAAAUACUAUUUUGUUUUAUGUUGAGAUAUUUUUUUCUACACAAAUUACAUAAGAAAAUUACACUAUCUUGGUAUAAUAUGUGUGAUGAGGAUGGCUAAACAUUUGCAAUAAGAAUAAGUCAUUAAAUAUCCUGGGGCGAAAAUACCCAUAAUGAAAUACAAAUGAUCUCCUUGGUGAUUGUGGAUGCCAUGGGACAGAACACCAACCACAAGAAAAGAGAUUACCUGACUAUAAAGCCAAACUGACUGCAACCCAGAGAAGUCACAACUGACUCCAUUUCUACCAUAGCCAAAUAAGGCAGCACUAUUCACAGAAGCCAAGACAUGGAAACAGCAUAAAUGUCCAUUGACAGAUGAAUGGAUUAAGAAGAUAUGUUAUAUAUACACAAUGGAAUACUAUUCAGCCAUAAAAAAGAACAAAAUAGUGCCAUUUGCAGCAACAUGGUUGGAACUAGAGACUCUCAUACUAAGUGAAGUAAGUCAGAAAGAGAAAGACAAAUACAACAUGAUAUCAUUUAUAUCUGGAAUCUAAUAUACAGUACAAAUAAACCUUUCCACAGAAAAGAAACUCAUGGACUUGGAGACCAGACUUGGGGUUGCCAAGAGGGAGGGGGAGGAAGUGGGAUGGACUGAGAAUUUGAGGUUAAUAGAUGCUAACUAUUGCCUUUGGAAUGGGUAAGCAAUGGGAUCCUGCUGUAUAGCACUGGGAACUAUAUCUAGUCACUUAUUGUGGUGCAUGAUGGAGGAUAAUGUGAGAAAAAAUGUAUAUAUGUAUGUGUGACUGGGUUACUUUACUGUACAGUAGAAAAUUGACAGAACACUGUAAACCAACUAUAAUGGAAAAAAUAAAAAUCAUUUAAAAAAAUUCUUAUGAUUCUCCAGAAUUGCCUCCCUCCACAAAAGAUUUUAUUCUGAUGUAUCCAUUAGAAUUAGGAAAAAUUAUCCUUAUCUUGGAAAUAAGACAAAAAAGAAUAUAGCAUAUUUUUUCAGUGACAUACUGGGACAUUUUAUCAACAGGUCUACCUUUGGAUUAUUUGCUUCUCUUGGAAAAUAUAAUUCUGAAGCUACUCUCCAAGGAAGGAGAGUUUUUUUUCCCAUAAAAAAGAUCACCCCAAAGGUUGUGUUCUUAUUGCCUCUCUUGGACCCAAACAAGCUUUCUGUCUUACCUAGACAAUUAAAGUUCAUAUUUUCAAACACCUGUAACUAGUUUCUCAAAAGUUCUUUGAACCAACUUUAUCAUCCUACUGGUCACAUGAUUAAUGAGUUAACACUCAGUGAUACCCCUGUUGUAUAAAAGACUUGUGUUUAUUUUUUGGAAAAAUUACCCUUUGAGCAUGAGAAUCUAUGCUCAUUCCUAUUUAUUUAGCACAACAGUUUUGAGGAAUAUUUAAGCCAUUAAUAAUUUUUUUUAUGACCUCACCUGUGGCAUGUGGAGGGUUCUGGGCUAGAGUUGAGUUGGAGCUCCAGCUGAGGCCUCUGCCACAGCCACAGCAACACUGGAUCUGAGCCACAUCUGUGACCUAUGUGACAAUGCCAGAUCCUAACCCACUGAAUGAGGCCAGGGUUUGAACCUGCACCUUGGAGAAACAACAUCAGAUUCUUAACCCACUGAGCCACAAUGGGAACCCCAGUAGAAGUAUUUUGAAAUUAUCUUUUCCUCCAUUGACUUCUAUUGAGAAAAAUGUUGGGUUUUUCUGUAUUUUAAGACAUUAAGGCUACUUUUUUCCUUUUUGGGCGAGUGUUUUGUAAAGUGGGUCCCCCUCGUAGCAAAGUUGCUCUCUUCUCAUUGAGACUGGUUAAAUUUCACACCUGGUGCCUACACAUUCUACCCUUACAUAAUGGAGUUUGACACAUCAUAUGAUUUUAAUGGCCCUCAUGCGCAGCCUGUGGAUGUUAGCAACUUCAAGUGUUUGGGUAGUCUCAGCCUUUCUUCCCCCCACUUUAGUAUUCUUUUUCAACUUUCGUAAGAUCAGAAACCAGUAGGCAGCUCAAGGAACUGACUUAGUGAGUAUUUGAGGCCAACUUAUUUCUAGAUAUUAUGAAAGUGGUGUGAGGUGUGACAGGAGCAUCAACACAGGUGACUUGUUACUGAGGCAGGGGGGCUCAAGGGGGUGCUAUUAACAGUGUCUUCUAGAGCCAUCUUUUUGGCGCCUCUGUUCCUGUGAAGCCAGUACACCAUCUGGCAGUUAGGCAUAGUGCCAUUUUAACAGAUGGGACCCAUAUAGGAGGCUCUGAGACCAUUUAUUACUAUCAACCAUAGUGUCGGACAGAGUUUUCUGAGGAAAUAUUCAACUCACUCAUUUUCACCUUGGCUUUUAAUUCCUCAGUAAAAGUAGAUAAUAUUUCUUCCUUUAAGUGAGGAAAAGACAAGAAAUGGUUUUCUCUUGGGAGUCUGGUGCUAUCAGAGAAUGAGUUGAUGCCAAAUCUUAUACACACUCAUUAUUCAUACAACUUUAGCAAAGUGACUCUUUUUUUCUUAAAUAUUUCCCUUUCAAAAUAUUCUAUAACAGCCUAGUUUUUAGCCUCAUAAUUUGAUAUGUAUAUGUAUAUGUCUUUUGGAUGUGAUUAAAAACAAAACAGAUUGAGUCAUUUUCCCCUUUUGAUGUCCUAGAAAGAACUGAAAUUAAGAGGGAAAAAGCUAUCAAUCAUUGGCCACUUGGAAAAAUUUUGGUGGGUGCUUAACUUAGGCAUAUGAUAUUUUUAUGAUUCAAAGGAGUAAAUGAUACAAUUUUUGCCCUCAAAAAACUUAUCAGUUUGUUGGGAAGAUAAAACACAUACCUAAAAUGACAUUUCUUCUUUCACUGUAAAAGUAAUUCAUAAUUGGAAUAGGGCAUUAGAAAAAUACAGACAAAUGGAAGAAAAAUAAGUUAUCCAUAACCUUAUCACACAAAACCAAUUCCUGCUACACUUUGAGGUGUUCAUCCCCAGUGUUUUGUUGUUGUUGUUAUUGUUGUUGUUUGUGGGUUUAUUGGUCUUUUUCAGUGCACACUAUUUGGUUCAUGUAUUUAUGAUCCUAUUACAUAUCUAGCUUUUGAUACUGAUCUUUCAUAAUAUGCUAUGAUCCUAUUACAUAUCUAGCUUUUGAUACUGAUCUUUCAUAAUAUGCUAUAGAGAUGGCUUUAAUAAACAUCUUUGUAAAUGAACUUUUUUCUUUUUUAUUCUUAUGUGCUUAGAAAAUAUCUCCAGGAGUUCCCGUUGUGGCUCAGUGGUUAAUGAAUUUGACUAGGAACCAUGAGGUUGCGGGUUCGAUCCCUGGCCUUGCUCAGUGGGUUAAGGAUCUGGCGUUGCCGUGAGCUGUGGUGUAGGUUGCAGAUGCGGCUCGGUUCCUGUGUUGCUGUGGCUCUGGCGUAGGCCAGUGGCUACAGCUCCAAUUCGACCCCUAGCCUGGGACCUCCAUAUGCUGUGGGAGCGGCCCAAGAAAUGGCAAAAAGACAAAAAAUAAAAAAGAAAGUAUCUCCAGAAGCAAACUUUCUGGGUCAAAGGGAAUACUUGUUUAUUAAAGAAUCUUCAAGAGUUCCCAUCAUGACUCAGUGGUUAAUGAAUCUGACUAGGAAUCAUGAGGUUGCAGGUUCGAUACCUGGCCUGGCUCAGCGGGUCCAGCGUUGCUGUGAGCUGUGGUGUAGGUCACAGACGCAGCUCAGAUCUAGCAUUGCUGUGGCUGUGGCGUAGGCCAGCAGCUGCAGCUACAGCUCCAAUCAGACCCCUAGCCUGGAACCUCCAUACGCCAUGGGUGCAGCCCUAAAAAGACAAAAAAAAAAAAAAAAAAA
RNAcentral lists this long non-coding RNA (6094 nucleotides) under Sus scrofa (pig). RNAcentral's name for it is "lncRNA (ENSSSCG00035063556.1)". The record is from RNAcentral. Lineage: Eukaryota; Metazoa; Chordata; Mammalia; Artiodactyla; Suidae.